Molecule: ribosomal RNA, 446 nt
Filed under: uncultured bacterium
Lineage: Bacteria
Description: partial 16S ribosomal RNA
Rfam family: Bacterial small subunit ribosomal RNA
Source: RNAcentral
CCUACGGGUGGCUGCAGUCGAGAAUCAUUCACAAUGGGGGAAACCCUGAUGGUGCGACGCCGCGUGGGGGAAUGAAGGUCUUCGGAUUGUAAACCCCUGUCAUGUGGGAGCAAAUUAAAAAGAUAGUACCACAAGAGGAAGAGACGGCUAACUCUGUGCCAGCAGCCGCGGUAAUACAGAGGUCUCAAGCGUUGUUCGGAAUCACUGGGCGUAAAGCGUGCGUAGGCUGUUUCGGAAGUAGUGUGUGAAAGGCGCGGGCUCAACCCGCGGACGGCACAUGAUACUGCGAGACUAGAGUAAGGGAGGGGGAACCGGAAUUCUCGGUGUAGCAGUGAAAUGCGUAGAUAUCGAGAGGAACACUCGUGGCGAAGGCGGGUUCCUGGACAUUAACUGACGCUGAGGCACGAAGGCCAGGGGAGCGAAAGGGAUUAGAUACCCCUGUAGUC